Helianthus annuus (common sunflower) is the source of this 194-nucleotide long non-coding RNA. RefSeq lists it as uncharacterized. The record is from RefSeq and is a predicted model, not a curated record. NCBI's taxonomy places the organism in Eukaryota, Viridiplantae, Streptophyta, Magnoliopsida, Asterales, Asteraceae. The transcript has 2 exons.
UAGAAUGCAUUGGUGCAUCCAUAUCAUGGCCCUAUCCAUUCAUCUCGGUAGUCCAUGAGGAUUGAGGAUGCAUGAUGACUCAAGAUUUUAUGCUUCUUAUUUCUUUAAUUGCUUUUAAUUUCUUUGUUAAAUGUUAAGACUUUAUGGUGGAUAAUGUUAUAACUUAUUUAUGGUUAGUGUUUUUGUUAUGAACA